Long non-coding RNA from Larimichthys crocea (large yellow croaker), 1384 nucleotides. RefSeq lists it as uncharacterized. The transcript is spliced from 4 exons. The record is from RefSeq and is a predicted model, not a curated record. NCBI's taxonomy places the organism in Eukaryota, Metazoa, Chordata, Actinopteri, Sciaenidae.
GUGAAUCCUGGCAUCACACUUCUAUUUCAAAGGAAUGAAAAUGCAGCACUGGUCUGUGCCAUCAGUUUACUCUGUUCCCCCCUUUCAUCUGCCUGGAUAUAUUAAGACAAAAAAUGCGAAGCUCUGCUGCAGCUCCCACAUGAAUCAGUCUAAACCCCCCAGUGGGAACGUGUGCUGGUCAUUUCAGGUCCCAUUUGAGACGAGCGAGGGAGUAAGUUAGAGAGAGCGCGAGAGGCAAUAGAUAGUGACAGAGAGACAACUUGAACAGAACUGGCACGUUCUGAGGACACGGCAUGAGCUACUUUGGUGCUCUUGUUUUCUGAGGACACUGUGUGCCAUAAUUAGCUGUCUGUGAUCUACUGACCACUCAAGUAAAGGAGGCGGGCAUCCAAGCAUAAGCCACAGCAAGAACAACACAGAGAACAGCAUUAAUAAUGUUGUUCCUCAAGAAUUACACAACGAAGGCUACAAACCCCGAUGAGAAGCAUCAACAUCCUGUGCUGUAAUGUCGAACUGUGGCCUUGUGCAUUCAAGGCUCGUGGGCCGGUCCCUGCGGAGUAACAACUCCCCCUGUAGGAUCAAAGCAGGACUUCAGCCUAGAAACCUCAAACGCCUGGCUGCAUCUCACAAAGGCUCCUGAGGUGCGCAAAUCGACAUGGCACAUGUUCAGUGUCAACUGACUCCCCUGUGGGCUGCUGUUCCCUGCCAGGCAGAUCAUGGGACAGUGCAGGUGGCCUACUAAAACACAGGGAGCCUUGUUUGAAAAAAAGACAGGCUACAAGGUAGAUAGACUGUCCGUGCUGUGCUGUGCUGUGCUGUGCUGCACCUCAACCCAGCACACAGGCUGCGAAGAUGACUGUGCAUUAACUCCACAAUGGAGACUGUAAAAGGAAAUGUCUUUAACGGUUAUUAUAGCAAUCCUGCUGUCGGCUUUGAUGAUGAAGAAAAAAAAAAACGGUUUGGUAUGUUUGUGGCUUCAUUUCUGUAUCGCUGCACACUAAAAUUGGAAUUUUGUUUUGUUUUGUGGAGAAGUUUUAAAUCAAAGAAGGCUUUCUGUAAUUUCAAAGAUAUCACUAAUGCUUCUGCGCAGAACAAUCAUCUGGUACAAAAGGACUUUUCCAGGCAAACACUAAUUUACAUCUUACGGCUUAUUACAGCUGUUGCAAGAAGCAAAUGUCACUACCUUCGUCUUUUUGGCUUUGAUCCACAAUUUUUCAAACAUAAAUCUGAAAUGCAACAGAUGGACAACAUUCAUCCAGCCUAACCAAAACCGGAUCAAACAUGAGCCCACUGUUCAUCAAUCUGCGUUCGACACGCAGCCUCAACCUGCCCUUAAUUCUCACCCUCAUCUUCAGCUUUGACCACAAACAUAACCCGCGCCGGU